AUUGAACGCUGGCGGCAUGCCUUACACAUGCAAGUCGAGCGGCAGCGGGGACUUCGGUCCGCCAGCGAGUGGCGAACGGGUGAGUAAUGCAUCGGAACGUACCCGGAAGUGGGGGAUAACGUAGCGAAAGUUACGCUAAUACCGCAUAUUCUGUGAGCAGGAAAGAGGGGGAUCUUCGGACCUCUUGCUUUCGGAGCGGCCGAUGUCAGAUUAGCUAGUUGGUGAGGUAAAGGCUCACCAAGGCGACGAUCUGUAGCGGGUCUGAGAGGAUGAUCCGCCACACUGGAACUGAGACACGGUCCAGACUCCUACGGGAGGCAGCAGUGGGGAAUUUUGGACAAUGGGCGCAAGCCUGAUCCAGCCAUGCCGCGUGAGUGAAGAAGGCCUUCGGGUUGUAAAGCUCUUUCGGCCGGGAAGAAAUCGCAUGGAUUAAUACUCUGUGCGGAUGACGGUACCGGCAUAAGAAGCACCGGCUAACUACGUGCCAGCCGCCGCGGUAA
This 500-nucleotide ribosomal RNA is filed under the name uncultured bacterium. RNAcentral describes it as "partial 16S ribosomal RNA". It matches the Rfam family "Bacterial small subunit ribosomal RNA", at positions 30 to 523 of the family's 1533-position model. The record is from RNAcentral.